Molecule: unclassified non-coding RNA, 278 nt
Filed under: Glomus sp.
Lineage: Eukaryota; Fungi; Glomeromycota; Glomeromycetes; Glomerales; Glomeraceae
Description: partial contains 5.8S ribosomal RNA and internal transcribed spacer 2
Rfam family: 5.8S ribosomal RNA (bases 1-71)
Source: RNAcentral
GUGAAUCAUCGAAUUUUUGAACGCUUCUUGCACUUUCUGGUAUUCCGGAAAGUAUGCCUGUUUGAGGGUCAGUUAUAUACAAGUAGGUUUUGUUGAUACUUUUAGCGAUGAUGCCUCGGAAUUGAGUUGUUUUUCUUUUUUUUGGUUAAAGUGACUUAAAAUUUUGUAUGAUUUUUUGAACGUUUUUUAAUUGUUUAAGUAUGUUCAUAAUAUCAAAUAUAUUAGGUGCGAUGUUCCUCAUGAUUUCGCUUCUAUAAUUUUUCAUUAUUUGCACUCAA